UACGGAGGGUGCAAGCGUUAAUCGGAAUUACUGGGCGUAAAGCGCGCGUAGGUGGUUUGAUAAGCGAGAUGUGAAAGCCCCGGGCUCAACCUGGGAACGGCAUUUCGAACUGUCAGGCUAGAGUAUGGUAGAGGAGUGUGGAAUUUCCUGUGUAGCGGUGAAAUGCGUAGAUAUAGGAAGGAACACCAGUGGCGAAGGCGGCACUCUGGACCAAUACUGACACUGAGGUGCGAAAGCGUGGGGAGCAAACAGG
This 253-nucleotide ribosomal RNA is filed under the name uncultured marine bacterium. Its description in RNAcentral is "partial 16S ribosomal RNA". It matches the Rfam family "Bacterial small subunit ribosomal RNA", at positions 524 to 776 of the family's 1533-position model. RNAcentral also lists the same sequence under 2 other names. The record is from RNAcentral.